UGCCAUUAUCAGAAGAAAAAAGACAUCUCAGUUUUUCUUCCAUUGUUUGCUUUAACUGAUGAAAAGAACGAAAGAUCAUAACCUCUCGUGCAUGGAGAGAAGAAUCUCGAUAAUAUAGUUGGAAUUUGGUUUAUAUUCCAAAUCUGUAAAAUGCUUUAAAAAGCCAUUAUAGAUACCUUGCUGUUCACUUGCAUGUUGAGAAGAA
Molecule: unclassified non-coding RNA, 205 nt
Filed under: Hevea brasiliensis (rubber tree)
Lineage: Eukaryota; Viridiplantae; Streptophyta; Magnoliopsida; Malpighiales; Euphorbiaceae
Source: RNAcentral